GACGAACGCUGGCGGCGUGCUUAACACAUGCAAGUCGAACGGAAAGGCCCGGCGCUUGCGCGGCGCUCGAGUGGCGAACGGGUGAGUAACACGUGAGUAACCUGCCCUUGACUUUGGGAGAACUUCAGGAAACUGCGGCUAAUACCGGAUAGGAGCUCUUGCUGCAUGGUGGGGGUUGGAAAGUGUCGGCGGUUGGGGAUGGACUCGCGGCUUACCAGCUUGAUGGUGAGGUAGUGGCUGACCAAGGGUUCGACGGGUAGCCGGCAUGAGAGGGGGACCGGCGACAUGGGGCCUGCGAGACGGACCAGACUGCAACGGGAGGCAGCAGUGGGGAAUAUUGCGCAAUGGGCGGGCGCCUGAUACAGCAGCGCCGCGUGCGGAAUGACGGCCUACGAGGUGUAAACCGAUUUCGCAUGUAACGAGGCGUGCGUGACGGUAAUGGGUAAGGAAGCAACGGCUAACUACGUG
Molecule: ribosomal RNA, 468 nt
Filed under: uncultured bacterium
Lineage: Bacteria
Description: partial 16S ribosomal RNA
Rfam family: Bacterial small subunit ribosomal RNA
Source: RNAcentral